RNAcentral lists this ribosomal RNA (323 nucleotides) under Sandonidae sp. RNAcentral's name for it is "SSU rRNA". The stretch from base 111 to 323 matches the Rfam family "Eukaryotic small subunit ribosomal RNA", at positions 742 to 955 of the family's 1831-position model. The record is from RNAcentral. Lineage: Eukaryota; Cercozoa; Glissomonadida; Sandonidae.
GAUUUCUGAAUAAUUGUAAUGGAUCAACCACGGUUUCGUGUGUUAGUAUUUAUUACGCUGUUCAUCCUUCCAAUUGCUAGUAUAUUAGUCUUCAUUGAUUAAUUAUUAGUAUUGGAUCUUUUACUUUGAAAAAAUUAGAGUGUUCAACGCAGGCGUAAUGCCAUGAAUACAUUAGCAUGGAAUAAUAAUCUAGGACUUCGGUUCUAUUUUGUUGGUUUCUAUAACUGAAGUAAUGAUUGAUAGGGACAGUUGGGGGUGCUAGUAUUGGCCGGCCAGAGGUGAAAUUCUUGGAUUCGGUCAAGACUAACUUAUGCGAAAGCAUU